Coffea eugenioides is the source of this 631-nucleotide long non-coding RNA. RefSeq lists it as uncharacterized. Lineage: Eukaryota; Viridiplantae; Streptophyta; Magnoliopsida; Gentianales; Rubiaceae. The record is from RefSeq and is a predicted model, not a curated record. The transcript has 3 exons.
UUUCGCUUCACACUCGUCUGGCAACAGAAAUCCACAGUAUCUGCUGCUAAAUCAAAUACCUCCUGCGUCUUCUUCACCGCCAAUCCUCCUCCAUAUCCUCUUCCUUCCAAUUAAGUUCACUAGAAAAGAUAAUACGCCGCGGUUUCGGGAGAGGCUCAAGAGGAUUUUGCAGUCGCCCUUUUUUGCGAUCUUGGUGAGAAUUAAGAAGUUGACGGGUCUCUCUUCGCUAUUUCGUUACUGGGGACAAGUCGUGGAUUGAAUAAUUCUCUGUUGUCAAUGAAACAAGUACUGUGCAGUAUUUCUUGGGGGGUAGAUGAGAAUCUGAGUUGAUAAGAUAAAAAAGAGGAGACUUGUGAAUUGAGAGAAAGCGAGGCAUAUAAUAAAAGAUGAGGUUGAUAAAUGUGGCGACUUGUAAUCUGAAUCAAUGGGCUAUGGAUUUUGAUUGCAAUAUGAAGAAUAUUAAGGAAUCUAUUUCUAAGGCUAAAGAAGUUGGAGCUGUAAUCAGGCUUGGCCCUGAGCUCGAAAUCACUGGCUAUGGCUGUGAGGACCAUUUCUUGGAAUUGGAUACCGUCACUCAUGCGUGGGAGUGCUUAGCAGAGCUCUUGCUUGGUGAUUGGACAGAUGGCAUAUU